RNAcentral lists this transfer RNA (90 nucleotides) under Streptosporangium violaceochromogenes. Its description in RNAcentral is "tRNA-Gly". The record is from RNAcentral. Lineage: Bacteria; Bacillati; Actinomycetota; Actinomycetes; Streptosporangiales; Streptosporangiaceae.
GCCGAGCGUGGCGAACGGGCGCUCGCGCGUGCCCGGCGCGGAGUCGUCCCCGCCGGGGGCGACGAACAGUUCGAUCAUGGAUGCACCGCU